GGGGGCAUGGCGCAGCGGUAGCGCGUUCGCUUUGCAUGCGAAAGGUCACGAGUUCGAACCUUGUUGCCUCCA
This is a non-coding RNA of Cryphonectria parasitica EP155, 72 nucleotides long. Lineage: Eukaryota; Fungi; Ascomycota; Sordariomycetes; Diaporthales; Cryphonectriaceae. The record is from the annotation of a RefSeq genome assembly.